RNAcentral lists this ribosomal RNA (1370 nucleotides) under uncultured bacterium. RNAcentral's name for it is "16S ribosomal RNA". It matches the Rfam family "Bacterial small subunit ribosomal RNA". The record is from RNAcentral.
UUAGAGUUUGAUCCUGGCUCAGGACGACCUCUGGCGGCGUGCCUAACACAUGCAAGUCGAACGAGGAAUAUUUUUCGAAAUAUUCUUAGUGGCGGACGGGUGAGUAACGCGUGAACAAUCUGCCCUGUACAAAGGAAUACCCUCGGGAAACCGGGAUUAAAACCGUAUGAUACUUUGAUGCCGCAUGGCAAUGAAGUCAAAUAUUUAUAGGUAUGGGAUGAGUUCGCGUCUGAUUAGCUGGUUGGUGAGGUAAAGGCCCACCAAGGCGACGAUCAGUAGCCGGCCUGAGAGGGUGAACGGCCACACUGGAACUGAGACACGGUCCAGACUCCUACGGGAGGCAGCAGUGGGGAAUAUUGCACAAUGGAGGGAACUCUGAUGCAGCGACGCCGCGUGAGUGAAGAAGGUCUUCGGAUCGUAAAACUCUGUCCUUGGUGAAGAAAAGGACGGUAGCCAAGGAGGAAGCCCCGGCUAACUACGUGCCAGCAGCCGCGGUAAUACGUAGGGGGCGAGCGUUGUCCGGAUUUACUGGGCGUAAAGGGUGAGUAGGCGGUAAUAUAUGUCAGGUGUAAAAGAUCAUGGCUUAACCAUGGUUAGCACUUGAAACUGUAUGACUUGAGUGCAGGAGAGGUAAGCGGAAUUCCUAGUGUAGCGGUGAAAUGCGUAGAUAUUAGGAGGAACACCAGUGGCGAAGGCGGCUUACUGGACUGUAACUGACGCUGAGUCACGAAAGCGUGGGUAGCAAAGAGGAUUAGAUACCCUGGUAGUCCACGCGUAACCCAUAGGGGUAGGUGUUGGGUAGCGAUAUUCAGUGCCGUAGUAAACACAAUAAGCACUCCGCCUGGGGAGUACGUACGCAAGUAUAAAACUCAAAGGAAUUGACGGGGACCCGCACAAGCAGCGGAGCAUGUGGUUUAAUUCGAAGCAACGCGAAGAACCUUACCAAGGCUUGACAUCCCCUUGACAGAUGCAGAGAUGUGUCCUCUCCUUCGGGAGCAAGGGAGACAGGUGGUGCAUGGUUGUCGUCAGCUCGUGUCGUGAGAUGUUGGGUUAAGUCCCGCAACGAGCGCAACCCUUAUCCUUAGUUGCCAUCAAGUUAAGUUGGGCACUCUAAGGAGACUGCCGGUGAUAAACCGGAGGAAGGUGGGGAUGACGUCAAAUCAUCAUGCCCCUUAUGUCUUGGGCUACACACGUGCUACAAUGGUCGGUACAACGGGGAGCGAAGGAGCGAUCCCAAGCAAAUCCCAAUAAACCGAUCCCAGUUCGGAUUGCAGGCUGCAACUCGCCUGCAUGAAGUCGGAGUUGCUAGUAAUCGCGAAUCAGAACGUCGCGGUGAAUGCGUUCCCGGGUCUUGUACACACCGCCCGUCA